UCGUUAUAAACGCUGAAUCCUUGCCUAGCAAGGAGCGGGGGAACCAAUCGAAGCCGCAGCAUGGCUUCACGGGGUGAAUCGUCCGGCACUUCCAGGUGCCGGAGGUAGGGCGACUUUCGCGCCCGAAUCCGUCAGCUAACCUCGCAAGCGUACGAAGGGGCAACA
Molecule: small RNA, 165 nt
Filed under: Paenibacillus sp.
Lineage: Bacteria; Bacillati; Bacillota; Bacilli; Caryophanales; Paenibacillaceae
Also listed under: 1 other name
Description: c-di-AMP sequence
Rfam family: c-di-AMP riboswitch aptamer (ydaO/yuaA leader)
About the family: This family represents a conserved RNA structure found upstream of the ydaO and yuaA genes in Bacillus subtilis and related genes in other bacteria. The ydaO/yuaA element is thought to act as a genetic "off" switch for the ydaO and yuaA genes in its native state.
Source: RNAcentral